RNAcentral lists this ribosomal RNA (330 nucleotides) under uncultured bacterium. RNAcentral's name for it is "bacterial SSU rRNA". It matches the Rfam family "Bacterial small subunit ribosomal RNA", at positions 568 to 898 of the family's 1533-position model. The record is from RNAcentral.
CGCGUAGGUGGUAGUGCAAGUCUGGGGUGGAAUCUUAGGGCUUAACCCUAAAACUGCCUUGGAAACUGCAUUACUUGAGUCAGUGAGGGGAGGGUAGAAUUCCUGGUGUAGCGGUGAAAUGCGUAGAUAUCAGGAGGAAGGCCUGUGGCGAAGGCGGCCCUCUGGCGCUGAACUGACACUGAGGCGCGAAAGCGUGGGUAGCAAACAGGAUUAGAUACCCUGGUAGUCCACGCCCUAAACGGUGGGUACUAGGUGUAGGGCUCGUAAGGGUUCUGUGCCGAAGGGAAACCAUUAAGUACCCCGCCUGGGAAGUACGGCCGCAAGGUUGAA